Molecule: unclassified non-coding RNA, 259 nt
Filed under: Hevea brasiliensis (rubber tree)
Lineage: Eukaryota; Viridiplantae; Streptophyta; Magnoliopsida; Malpighiales; Euphorbiaceae
Source: RNAcentral
GCACAGCGACACACAGAGAGAUGAGAACACAAUUUUUAGAUCUUGAAGAGAAAAUAUGCUCGUGAGAAAUAGAAGAAGAAAUAAAAAGAGGUGUCAGUGGAGACUGGUGUGGCACAUGGAAGCUUCGGGGUGUAAUUUAAUGUCUGCUAAUAAGUAAUUAGCAAAUAGUAGUGAAGGAGUUGAGGGGUCAAAAAGGGAAAGAGAUUAGUGAUGAGUACAAAGAAGGAAGACAAUUUUUAUGUUUAUAUAAUAAUUUUUU